RNAcentral lists this ribosomal RNA (619 nucleotides) under Streptococcus mutans. Its description in RNAcentral is "bacterial SSU rRNA". It matches the Rfam family "Bacterial small subunit ribosomal RNA", at positions 368 to 979 of the family's 1533-position model. Lineage: Bacteria; Bacillati; Bacillota; Bacilli; Lactobacillales; Streptococcaceae. The record is from RNAcentral.
GCAAUGGACGAAAGUCUGACCGAGCAACGCCGCGUGAGUGAAGAAGGUUUUCGGAUCGUAAAGCUCUGUUGUAAGUCAAGAACGUGUGUGAGAGUGGAAAGUUCACACAGUGACGGUAGCUUACCAGAAAGGGACGGCUAACUACGUGCCAGCAGCCGCGGUAAUACGUAGGUCCCGAGCGUUGUCCGGAUUUAUUGGGCGUAAAGGGAGCGCAGGCGGUCAGGAAAGUCUGGAGUAAAAGGCUAUGGCUCAACCAUAGUGUGCUCUGGAAACUGUCUGACUUGAGUGCAGAAGGGGAGAGUGGAAUUCCAUGUGUAGCGGUGAAAUGCGUAGAUAUAUGGAGGAACACCAGUGGCGAAAGCGGCUCUCUGGUCUGUCACUGACGCUGAGGCUCGAAAGCGUGGGUAGCGAACAGGAUUAGAUACCCUGGUAGUCCACGCCGUAAACGAUGAGUGCUAGGUGUUAGGCCCUUUCCGGGGCUUAGUGCCGGAGCUAACGCAAUAAGCACUCCGCCUGGGGGUACGACCGCAAGGUUGAAACUCAAAGGAAUUGACGGGGGCCCGCACAAGCGGUGGAGCAUGUGGUUUAAUUCGAAGCAACGCGAAGAACCUUACCAGGU